UGUGGCUCAGUGGUAGAAUGCUUGCCUAGCAUGCAGUAGACCCUGGGUUCAAUUCCCAGCA
RNAcentral lists this transfer RNA (61 nucleotides) under Marmota marmota marmota (Alpine marmot). It matches the Rfam family "tRNA", at positions 6 to 65 of the family's 71-position model. Rfam says of the family: Transfer RNA (tRNA) molecules are approximately 80 nucleotides in length. Their secondary structure includes four short double-helical elements and three loops (D, anti-codon, and T loops). Lineage: Eukaryota; Metazoa; Chordata; Mammalia; Rodentia; Sciuridae. The record is from Rfam by way of RNAcentral. RNAcentral also lists the same sequence under 2 other names.